CAAUAGCGUAUAUUAAAGUUGUUGCAGUUAAAAAGCUCGUAGUCGAACUUCGGGCCUGGCCGGGCGGUCUGCCUAACGGUAUGUACUGUCUGGCCGGGCCUUACCUCUUGGUGAGCCGGCAUGCCCUUCACUGGGUGUGUCGGUGAACCAGGACUUUUACCUUGAGAAAAUUAGAGUGUUCAAAGCAGGCCUAUGCCCGAAUACAUUAGCAUGGAAUAAUAAAAUAGGACGUGUGGUUCUAUUUUGUUGGUUUCUAGAGUCACCGUAAUGAUUAAUAGGGAUAGUUGGGGGCAUUAGUAUUAACACGUCAGAGGUGGAAUUCUUGGAUUGUGUUACGACAAACUACUGCGAAAGCAUUUGCCAAGGAUGUUUUCAUUGA
RNAcentral lists this ribosomal RNA (379 nucleotides) under uncultured eukaryote. RNAcentral's name for it is "partial 18S ribosomal RNA". It matches the Rfam family "Eukaryotic small subunit ribosomal RNA", at positions 592 to 976 of the family's 1831-position model. The record is from RNAcentral.